This 255-nucleotide ribosomal RNA is filed under the name uncultured bacterium. RNAcentral describes it as "partial 16S ribosomal RNA". It matches the Rfam family "Bacterial small subunit ribosomal RNA", at positions 524 to 777 of the family's 1533-position model. The record is from RNAcentral.
UACGAAGGGGGCUAGCGUUGCUCGGAAUCACUGGGGCGUAAAGCGCACGUAGGCGGCUUUUUAAGUCAGGGGUGAAAUCCUGGAGCUCAACUCCAGAACUGCCUUUGAUACUGAGAAGCUUGAGUCCGGGAGAGGUGAGUGGAACUGCGAGUGUAGAGGUGAAAUUCGUAGAUAUUCGCAAGAACACCAGUGGCGAAGGCGGCUCACUGGCCCGGUACUGACGCUGAGGUGCGAAAGCGUGGGGAGCAAACAGGG